UGGGUGGGAGGUGUGGUAGCU
RNAcentral lists this microRNA (21 nucleotides) under Populus trichocarpa (black cottonwood). RNAcentral's name for it is "ptc-miR7836". The record is from miRBase by way of RNAcentral. Lineage: Eukaryota; Viridiplantae; Streptophyta; Magnoliopsida; Malpighiales; Salicaceae.